RNAcentral lists this ribosomal RNA (427 nucleotides) under uncultured bacterium. RNAcentral describes it as "bacterial SSU rRNA". It matches the Rfam family "Bacterial small subunit ribosomal RNA", at positions 46 to 525 of the family's 1533-position model. The record is from RNAcentral.
GCCUAACACAUGCAAGUCGAACGCUAUUUAUAGAGUGGCGCACGGGUGAGUAACGCGUGGGAACCUGCCUUUUUCUGCGGGAUAACGGUUGGAAACGACCGCUAAUACCGCAUACGCCCUACGGGGGAAAGGUCCGCCGGAGAAAGAGGGGCCCGCGUCUGAUUAGCUUGUUGGUAGGGUAAUGGCCUACCAAGGCUACGAUCAGUAGCUGGUCUGAGAGGAUGAUCAGCCACACUGGGACUGAGACACGGCCCAGACUCCUACGGGAGGCAGCAGUGGGGAAUAUUGGACAAUGGGGGCAACCCUGAUCCAGCAAUGCCGCGUGUGAUGAAGGCCCUAGGGUUGUAAAGCACUUUCACUGGUGAAGAUGAUGACGGUAACCAGAGAAGAAGCCCCGGCUAACUUCGUGCCAGCCGCCGCGGUAAUA